GAUGAACGCUGGCGGCGUGCCUAAUACAUGCAAGUCGAGCGAACAGAUAAGGAGCUUGCUCCUUUGACGUUAGCGGCGGACGGGUGAGUUACACGUGGAUAACCUACCUAUAAGACUGGGAUAACUUCGGGAAACCGGAGCUAAUACCGGAUAACAUAUUGAACCGCAUGGUUCAAUAGUGAAAGGCGGCUUUGCUGUCACUUAUAGAUGGAUCCGCGCCGUAUUAGCUAGUUGGUAAGGUAACGGCUUACCAAGGCAACGAUACGUAGCCGACCUGAGAGGGUGAUCGGCCACACUGGAACUGAGGCACGGUCCAGACUCCUACGGGAGGCAGCAGUAGGGAAUCUUCCGCAAUGGGCGAAAGCCUGACGGAGCAACGCCGCGUGAGUGAUGAAGGUCUUCGGAUCGUAAAACUCUGUUAUCAGGGAAGAACAAAUGUGUAAGUAACUGUGCACAUCUUGACGGUACCUGAUCAGAAAGCCACGGCUAACUACGUG
Molecule: ribosomal RNA, 497 nt
Filed under: uncultured bacterium
Lineage: Bacteria
Description: partial 16S ribosomal RNA
Rfam family: Bacterial small subunit ribosomal RNA
Source: RNAcentral